UACAUUAAAAUAAAUAAAUAAAAAACUAUUUGAGUGAAUAUUUUCAAUUUGCCUUUUCUUUUUUUUCUUUUCGUUUUUGCAUGGGUGAAUAUUGAAGAAUUAUAAAGAGAGACCGUUCAGAGCAUCUCAUCGAGAGAUGUAAAUUUGAGAUGUAAAAUCAAUUUACAUCUCACUUUACAUCUUCGGGAGAUGUAAAUAUGAGUUAUAUUGCAAUAGCAAAGAUGCAAAUUUGAGCUCUCAUUUAUUUUUCUUGCUUUAACUAGCGGAACCAAAAUGCGGAUCCAUUUAGGGACCUAGAUGGUCCCAAGACCAAUGGUGGACCUAUUCAUGGAUCCGGAUGGUCACGUGACCACUCGUGUGAAAUUUCGGAUGUGUGAAAUCUCGUCCCCGAAAUUUCAUUAUUUAAUUACGUAUUUCAUUAUUUAAAGUCGUACUUCAUAAUUACGUGAUUUUUAUUUUUAUUUUUAUUUCGUUAAUUUUAGAAUUUUAAUUAGGGUUUUUAUCAUAAAUGAUCCUUGAAAUUGACCCACACCAUCAAGAUCGUCCCUAAAAUUAAAAAUCAAUCAAUGUAGUACUUGAAAAUAGGUGUUGAUGCGAAAUAUAUAAGCACACAAAUUAAACCCUCUUUUUAUCAAUUGUAGUAAAGUAUGUAAGUAGGGAUCGUUCUAGGCCGGGGAUUAGGAGGGAUUUCUAAAUCACUUGGAAACUGACUUGAAAACGUAAAAACAAAGUUUAAAACACUAACUAGACUCAAAGAA
This 758-nucleotide long non-coding RNA is filed under the name Malus domestica (apple). Its description in RNAcentral is "long non-coding RNA (MDOM_LNC004494)". Lineage: Eukaryota; Viridiplantae; Streptophyta; Magnoliopsida; Rosales; Rosaceae. The record is from RNAcentral.